Molecule: non-coding RNA, 75 nt
Organism: Trichonephila clavata
Lineage: Eukaryota; Metazoa; Arthropoda; Arachnida; Araneae; Nephilidae
Source: the annotation of a GenBank genome assembly
GUUUUCCUGAAGCAUAAUGGAGAGUGCAUUGGACUUCUAAUACAAAGAUCGUGGGUUCGAACCCCACCUAGAAUG